This 257-nucleotide ribosomal RNA is filed under the name uncultured bacterium. RNAcentral's name for it is "partial 16S ribosomal RNA". It matches the Rfam family "Bacterial small subunit ribosomal RNA", at positions 524 to 776 of the family's 1533-position model. The record is from RNAcentral.
UACAGAGGGUGCGAGCGUUAAUCGGAAUUACUGGGCGUAAAGAGCGUGUAGGCGGCCAGGUAGGUCAGCUGUGAAAACUCGAGGCUCAACCUCGAGACGCCGGUUGAAACCAUCUGGCUAGAGUCCGGAAGAGGAGAGUGGAAUUCCUGGUGUAGCGGUGAAAUGCGCAGACUAUCAGGAAGAACACCCGUGGCGGAAGGCGGCGUCUCUGGGACGGUACUGGACGCUGAGACGCGAAAGCGUGGGGAGCGAACAGG